AGUACAGACAUGGGUUAGAUACACAGCUAGGUACAGAGUACAGACAUGGGUUAGAUACACAGCUAGGUACAGAGUACAGACAUGGGUUAGAUACACAGCUAGGUACAGAGUACAGACAUGGGUUAGAUACACAGCUAGGUACAGAGUACAGACAUGGGUUAGAUACACAGCUAGGUACAGAGUACAGACAUGGGUUAGAUACACAGCUAGGUACAGAGUACAGACAUGGGUUAGAUACACAGCUAGGUACAGAGUACAGACAUGGGUUAGAUACACAGCUAGGUACAGAGUACAGACAUGGGUUAGAUACACAGCUAGGUACAGAGUACAGACAUGGGUUAGAUACACAGCUAGGUACAGAGUACAGACAUGGGUUAGAUACACAGCUAGGUACAGAGUACAGACAUGGGUUAGAUACACAGCUAGGUACAGAGUACAGACAUGGGUUAGAUACACAGCUAGGUACAGAGUACAGACAUGGGUUAGAUACACAGCUUGGUACAGAGUACAGACAUGGGUUAGAUACACAGCUUGGUACAGAGUACAGACAUGGGUUAGAUACACAGCUAGGUACAGAGUAGAGACAUGGGUUAGAUACACAGCUUGGUACAGAGUACAGACAUGGGUUAGAUACACAGCUAGGUACAGACAUGGGUUAGUUUAACACCCCUGCUCUAGAACACCCUAAAACACUCUAAACCACCCUAGAACACCCUGGAACACU
Long non-coding RNA from Oncorhynchus keta (chum salmon), 724 nucleotides. RefSeq lists it as uncharacterized. The transcript has 3 exons. The record is from RefSeq and is a predicted model, not a curated record. NCBI's taxonomy places the organism in Eukaryota, Metazoa, Chordata, Actinopteri, Salmoniformes, Salmonidae.